AUGUUUCAGGUCCCUGAGAAAAGCUCGCAGGAGGCUCUGAUCCUGGAGGAAGAGAGCGACAUCGUGCCGAGCUACAUCCUACCUCAGCCUCCGAGCAGGUGCCGGAGCCUCUACCUGCCGGAGAAGGACUACGACGACGCCAACCCCUUCUUCGACGACGACGAAGACGACCGCUCCUCCCUUCUCAACUCGACGAUCAACCUGGACGUGGACUUCGGGGACGACAUCGAGAACCACGACCAGGCCUACAACAACCGCACCCGCUACAACCUCACCGACGACACCCGGGCCCGCUACACGGCCGACAUGUGCGAGAAGAACAACCGCAAGAACGACCCGAAGAAGAGCGACCCGGGCCGGACGCGGAUCAAGCGGAGCGACACCUUCCACAACAUCCACAACGAGAUCCAGCAGAAGUUCUACGACGUCUCGGCCAUGAUCAACCGCCGAGGGAGCUUCGACGGUCUCUUCCACAAACCCCGGGAGCCCAAGAUCGGCACCUCCAAGUCGUCCGCCUCCUCGGACAAACGCCUCAAGUCCAAGAGCCUCGACCGGAUCGAGGACGGCAUCGAGAGGUUCAUCGACAUCGUCGUCACCUCGGACAAGCUUCCGGACUGUGACCAAUGCGACGGCAAAAGGAACAACUGCUGCCGCCGCGUCAAGAAACCGCCCGUGACCAAGCCCAUCUACUUCAACGACGUCUACAAGAACGUCUCGCGCAUCCCCUCUCGGACGGACAAGUACGGCAUCCUCAAGGACUCGAACAAAGCCAAGAGCGAGGCUUAUACCAAUGUCCGCGUGGACAAGUCGCGGCGGACCUCGCCGGCCCUCGACGGAGGCGUCCCGUACAUCAUGCCGAAGAUCUACGUGGGCACGGACCUGGGCUCCAAGGUGGACAAGCGAGACCCGAGCGGAAAGAAGGCAUCCGAGUCGGAGUUCAUCCUCAAGAGGGGCAACAAGAUCGCGGGCCUGUACUCGAACCAGUACCCGGAGUACGACCAUCCUGCGCCCAACCGACCGCGAGGGCCCGUUAAUAGAUCUCCUAGUAAUUUGAAAAGCGUCGACCUCAACUACAGGCGCUCCACACCCAAGUUGGCCGACACGCCGUCCGGUUUAUAUUGA
RNAcentral lists this long non-coding RNA (1122 nucleotides) under Bemisia tabaci. Its description in RNAcentral is "lncRNA ENSSSA1NGG005626". The record is from RNAcentral. Lineage: Eukaryota; Metazoa; Arthropoda; Insecta; Hemiptera; Aleyrodidae.